Molecule: non-coding RNA, 122 nt
Organism: Lophiostoma macrostomum CBS 122681
Lineage: Eukaryota; Fungi; Ascomycota; Dothideomycetes; Pleosporales; Lophiostomataceae
Source: the annotation of a GenBank genome assembly
GACACGAUGGCCGAGUGGUCUAAGGCGGUAGAUUUAAGCGCGCCUGCCGCACGUUAAGCGCGGUGGGAUUACGAUGACCUCUACUGGGGCAACCCGCGUGAGUUCGAACCUCACUCGUGUCA